UAAAGAAAGGAAAGGCAAUGAUGUCAGUCCCAUCUCAUCCUGACAAUGCUGGUCUCUUCAAGAUGAGAUUGGAACAUGUGUCUCAAAGAAAUGAAGAUCUGACCUGAAUCUCUAAAUGGGAGAAACAGCUGACCUGCAAAGCAGCUCUGGCUUCUGCCAAAUUUUAUCACAAUCACAUGCAAGUGAUCACCAAGAGGAGAGCUCUCCUACAGUGGCCUGGAUGUUGUGCAGAUAAACAAGCCUCA
Long non-coding RNA from Oxyura jamaicensis (ruddy duck), 245 nucleotides. RefSeq lists it as uncharacterized. The record is from RefSeq and is a predicted model, not a curated record. The transcript is spliced from 2 exons. Lineage: Eukaryota; Metazoa; Chordata; Aves; Anseriformes; Anatidae.